CAGCAGGGCACAGCUGGAAGGCACCUGGGUCCUGCAAAAACAUCUGGGGGCCAUUUUGUCAUUGAACAGCUGUGCUGGGAGGUGUGCCGGAGAGAUCCGCCUCUGAGCACCUUUUAGACUAGCGUCUGUGCUGGGAUGGAUCAUCAGAAACUCACCGUUAGGCAGGAACAUGCAAAUGCGAAGACUGGAUGGAAGCACACAGACCACGUGUUGCAAAACUGUAGUCUGGUUCCUCGGCUUCUGACAAGCAGGCAGAAAAAAGAACAAGUGGGGAAAAUCCUUGUAUUCACUACCUUGCAGCAAGCCUUUUGUGUGUGGAGAGCGAGCACCGUUGCGCUGAAAGUGCUGGUAUUGAUGAAGGGUUUGGGAUGGGUUUGGGGCUGGGACUCAGCUGCCUGGUGGCAGAAAGCUGGCCAGGAAGGAGACCCACAGUUAUGGUGGGCAGGGAACUGGAUGUGAGGUUUAACAAAACAGGUCAGUGUCACCUGGAGACUUUGUGUGCAAGGGAAUCUCCCUCUAUGAGUGAGAAAGCAUGACCCAUCCCUGCUCUGUACAUUGUGUACUGAAUAAGGCUCUCCAUGACACUUUCACACCACUUGACAACACGAAAAGUGAUUUUAAAAGAGAGAGAACAGCCUUUCCAGAGAGCCCUCCUCAUCUGCUCAGGAAUGGUCAAAGGACCCACACAAGCUCUGCCCUGGUGAAGGGGGCAGGGAUUGAAUUGGAGCCCAGCAUAAAUUGCUCUUCAGUUAGCAUGGUCCCCCAGGCUCAGGGUGACUUUUGGGAAGAUGACAGCCAUCAUGCUGUCCAUCUCAGUGGGAUGCUCCCCACAGCCCUGCAGUAGAGGAGCCACUGUAAUGAUUUGUUCUCCCCUUUUAAGAACCAAACACUGCAUACGUCCCAGCUGGCAAAGACAAACUAGAUCAUUAAGACAAUUGAAACUGUGUGGGUACAGAGAAACAAAUGAAAAAAUGAGUCUGAGAUGCAUUCACAUUUUGCACAUUUAAUGGGAUAAACCCCCAAGCCUAUAAUAUUAAAUCAGAAUGUCAAAGAGAGAGCUUAUGUUAAUUUAAUUAAAGACAGCAUCCUGGUGCACAUGGAUAAGGAGCAGAAUUAAUAUUGUGCACCACCCACUAAUUUUGCCUGCCAUGGGUUGUACAUAGCCUGGAUGUCCUGAUGUGCUCACAGCUCUGUUAAUCUGGACAGGGUGAGUAUCCCCCUGCCACUCUGCCAAAACUGGGCAGGGUUGAAUUUUAUUCUUCUCCUUUCCAAACCUGUCAAACUGUGCGUGAAUAUUACCAAUGGCACAAACCUAAGCACUAAUUCAUCUGUCUGUGCUGGAGAGGUGGGAGUCCUUGCCUGCCUUCACUUCCAGUGGGGCAAAAGAGAGGAAUUCCUCAAAGAUGCCUGGCAGUGAGUGGUAUGGACAUCCCUCUACCCUUUGUGCAUCUUCAGUCCU
RNAcentral lists this long non-coding RNA (1459 nucleotides) under Anas platyrhynchos platyrhynchos (common mallard). RNAcentral's name for it is "lncRNA (ENSAPLG00000017494.1)". The record is from RNAcentral. Lineage: Eukaryota; Metazoa; Chordata; Aves; Anseriformes; Anatidae.